UUACUUCUUUGUUAUUUUUUUACAUUUUCCCCUGAUUUCAAGGUUUCGAGCUGAAAACCUGAUGCCUUUUCAUUGCGCAAAAAUAUCCCGACGGAAGCCGCCGUUGGGAUACACAUGCCUUCAUUUUCUGUCGCCAGGAAACAUUUGGAAAAACAACGUGUUGUCUGGAAACUUUAGCAUCUUUUUGAGACUUCCCUGCAUUCACCCCGACACAAUACCGUUUCUCGUGUUGAUUCCAGCCCUCCCGUCCCUUUCCCUCCUUGUAUUAUUGUUAUGCAAGAGACUUGAACCUGCAAAACGUCACAUUUUGCAUUGGCCACACACCUUUUUUUUAAAGACCCAUUCAUCCUCGUGAUAUUUUGGUGCUAAAUUCGUAAAUACAGUAAUUAUAAUAUAACAUUACUGCAUAUUGAACUACUUUUUCUGUCAAAUUUGUUGUAUGACAUGAUGUUUUGGUGCUUAAUUUGUAAAAUCAUAACCUAAUUUGAUGUUUAAUAGGCUUUUCUUUAAUGCCUCCUUAUUAUCCAACAUAUUCGUUUAUCCAACGUUCUGCUGGCCCGGUUAUGUUGAAUAAGUGAGACUCUACUGUAGUAGCACAAUAAUAGAGAAAAAUAAUAAAUAUAAUAAUACAAAUAGGUAUUUGUUUAGGUUGAAUGUUUUUAUGUUGAAUGUUUUUAUGAUGAAUGUUUUCUAUUGUGGAAUGAUAUUUUAAAUUGUAAGUCGCUCGGAGCACUCUGGUGGAGAGCCACUAAUUAAGAAAUAAAGUGAAGUGAAGUGAAGUGAAAUAAUAAUAGAGAAAAAUAAUAAAUAACAACUCUUUAUUGAUUAGUCAGUUUUGACCAUAUCAAAACAUGUGAAACAUACAACAUACAAACAUACAUAAAAAUAAUAAAUGUACCAUAUAUUCUCGAGUAGAAGCUGACCCAAAUAUAAGCCAACCAGGACUCUCACCUGAGUAUAAGCCGAGGGGGGCUUUUUCAUUCUUAAAAAAAGGGCUGAAAAACUAGGCUUAUACUCAAGUAUAUACAGUAAGUUUUCCCAAUUUCUUGCGGUAAAAUUAGGUGCCUCGGCUUGAUAUUUGGGUCGGCUUAUACUCAAAUAUAUACGGUAUCCAUUCAACGAUAUUGAUGCUGUAUUCAGGACAUAUGACGUACAGUGUUGGUAUCUUUUGGACCGAAAUCCACAGAUGCAUGACUCCCAUUGUAUACAAGAUCCAUGCAACGGAUAUUGUAUGGACACUGCAGGGAUCAAGCUUUGGUAACUAUUGUUGUCCCUGUAUAUGAAUAUGGUCUUCAUAGCUCUAAGUAUCAAACCCUUUAGAAUAAAUCCUAAGACCUCCGAGAUGCAGAAGCCAAGCUUUUUCACCCCUGAGGAUUUCUAGCAACGGUGGGCAGCAUCCAGUCCGCAGAGCAACAAGUGCGGUGACCUUCCCGGGAAAGAAGGGAGCUUAGCCACUCACGUGACGUCCACGUUGCUCAGCUAAUCCGUAACAGUCUGCGAUGGGGUUUCUAUGUCCAGUUCUUUCACAUAUCCUUUUCGUAAUGUCAGUUGUGUAGCAUUGCUUAGGUGCUUUAGAAUGAAGAGUGUUGAAAGUGGGGCACCAGAAGGGCCAUGUAGUCCAACCCCUGCCAUGCCUGGUCAGUAAAGAUCUCCUGACCAUGCAACCUCCCCAUUUCUCCUCUCUGUUUCUACUCCUACUGAUUGUUUAUGUAGAAUAGAUACUCUGCAGAUGCAUGCCUUUUGACUUUCUACUUUUACAUCUUGGUGUGUGCUAUGUAUAUUGAGACCUCUUUCUGCUUUGUGUGUCCGGAGAGAUGUAGUGCUUGGUGAUUUUUCCGUUUUUUUGAGCCCUAGAACAGAUGGGGGUUGGUUAGAGUAGCUAGGACCCAGUUCUUUACUAUGAAGAAAUGUAUAUAUUAUUUCUGUAAAUAAAUCUUUUGUGAUUUUAAAGAAAGAUCUCUGGAUCUUUGCCUCCUAAGCUCUCAAUUCUUUACAGCCACAUGGCACUUCAUGCUCUGCUUGCUGUGAGCUGAAUGCCCAACUUUAAGUAUUCUGAACCCUAGAAGAGAUGGGGGUUAGUUAGUGUAGCUUAGACCCAGUUCUUUACUAUGAAGAAAUGUAUAUAUUAUUUCUGUAAAUAAACCUUUUACAGUUUUAAAGAAAGAUCUCUGGAUCUUUGCCUCCCAAGCUCUCAGUUCGUUACAGCCACAUGACACUUCAGGCUCUGCUUGCUGUGAGCUGAAUGCCCAACUUUAAGUAUUCUGAACCCUAGAAGAGAUGGGGGUUGGUUAGUGUAGCUUAGACCCAGUUCUUUACUAUGAAGAAAUGUAUAUAUUAUUUCUGUAAAUAAACCUUUUGUGAUUUUAAAGAAAGAUCUCUGGAUCUUUGCCUCCUAAGAUUCAUUACAGCCACAUGGCACUUCAGGCUCUGCUUGCUGUGAGCUGAAUGCUCAACUAUAAGUAUACUUUUUUGCAUAUUUUGGAUGCUCUGCUAUUUUUGGGUAUUUUUCCCUCCUAACAUCAUAGAAAAUCCUAACAAAUUAGAGAUUUUCAAAAGAGGAGAGUCUUGUUAUCCACCAAGGCGCUCUGAUUUUACUGUCAAAGAGUUCUUACAACCAAAGGAAUCUCUUUUCUUGUCAUUUGAAUCCCUGUGCUCAUGUUCUGGCUCCUGAAACAGCAGAAAACAUGACUGCUCCAUUUUUUAUACCAGUGGUUCCCAGUUAGGGUCUUCCAUGUGUUUGGGACUUCACCGCCCAGAUGUCCCAACUGUUAGGAUUUUCUCAGGUGAGUUAGGAAAAACUACCUAAUACUACUCAGUUCUUUAUUAUGAAGAAAUGUAUAAAUUAUUUCUGUAAAUAAACCUUUUGUGAUUUUAAAGAAAGAUCUCUGAAUCUUAGCCUCCUAAGCUCUCAAUUCGUUACAGCCACAUGGCACUUCACGCUCUGCUUGCUGUGAGCUGAAUGCUCAACUAUAAGUAUACUUUUUUUUGCAUCUAUUAGAUGCUCUGUUGUUUUGGAGUAGUUUCUCCUAACGCCUAGAAAAUCCUAACACAUUUCAUUAAAUUUCCUUUCAUGGUCAGGUGUCUAAGAGACUUUUGUGGGGUGGGAAGAGUUAAGAAUCAAGUUAUAACAUUUUAAAUCAAUAUUUUGCAGGCAGAGGAGAAAACUGAAUUCAGUUUCACACUCUUUUUCUCUCCCUCCACCCUUGGCUAUUCUUUAGGUGCA
Molecule: long non-coding RNA, 3223 nt
Organism: Anolis carolinensis (green anole)
Lineage: Eukaryota; Metazoa; Chordata; Lepidosauria; Squamata; Anolidae
Source: Ensembl